GAGGUAUAUAAAUAAAUUUUCCAUCCAAAUUCACUGUAAUGACUAUGUAACAGAGACUUAAGCGCUGUUCAAAGAUACUUCAAUAAUGUGGAUGAAUUCGAAAAAGAAAAAGGAGAAUAUGAAGUCCAUAUGCAGAAAACCUACACAAGAUUAAACCCAAUACACAAAAAUCAAUGAAUUCCCAAAAUGGGAGUCCUGAUUUUACAGAAGAGACCCAAAUUAGUGUUUUGCCGAGAUCUGUUGUGGCCCAAAUAGAUCCAACAAUGAAUCAACGAUCAAAGCGUGGGAUUCAUUAUCUGAGACGACAAUAAACACGAAAAAAAAGAGAGAAGAGAAGCUCAAGAUCAAAGCCAUUUAUGGCGGAACGAAAUUCCUCUUGGACAUCGACGAUGAACUCCUCGAUUAUGAUGACUCCUCUCCGAUCACCCUUCUAUCUAACCCUCUGAUCACCUCCUCUUACUACCUUGACUUCACUCUCCGAUCCCGAAUCCCGCCGUGGCCCACCCAAUCCCGCCCCCUUAUUAGCAAUUGUCCGAAUGACAACUAGGGCAGUUUGUUUAGAACUGAGUCGAUCAGCUGUUAAGAUGAUUUGGGUUGAAUGGUGAUUAAGUAUUAUUUUUUUGAUUAAAUGAG
RNAcentral lists this long non-coding RNA (633 nucleotides) under Panax ginseng (ginseng). RNAcentral describes it as "long non-coding RNA (PGIN_LNC002980)". The record is from RNAcentral. Lineage: Eukaryota; Viridiplantae; Streptophyta; Magnoliopsida; Apiales; Araliaceae.